AAGAAACUUUUCAAUCGGAAGCCUAAUUUCUUGACGAACAGAGAUGCAUGGGCUGGUACCUUUGAGAACUAUUUUUACAUUCGAGAUACUCCUCGUGAUGAUUGUCCAGAAAGGCUACCCGAGGUGAAGACAGCACUGAGGCCAUGGGGACGUGGAGGAGACAAGGAGCUCUCAGAAUUCCAGGUUGAACUGAUCCAGCUCGCAUCGCAGCUCGUUGGUGAUUAAGUGCUCAAAACCUAUCCAGAUAUUGGGAAAACCAUGACAGUGGAAGAAGCUAACAGAUACGCAGAAGAUGCAGUGAAGAGGUUCCUGGAAGCUGGAAAGGCUGCUCUCAGAGCUGGCGCAAAUGAGUCUGCCAUUGUCACGAUGAGACCUUCCCUUACCAGCAGAGUUGCUGCUGGAGAUAACCAAAACUAUUUGAAAAGCCAGUAAUUCUUCCAUCACACGGUAUGUAUGUAUAUAUUAGACUUUAAUCCAUUCUAUGCCAAAAACAAAAAUUAUGUAUAGAUAUUUUCUAAUGGCACAAAAACUUAGGUAAUAUGUUCUAUAUGAUUGCUAUUAAAGUUCACUGAAAAGUAAACAAAGAACUUUUUAAUGAGUUGAUAUUGUGAUGAUGAAAUAUAUCAAUAAAAUGUAUUUGUAUUAGUUGAAGAAUUUGACUGGAAACAUAUUUUGAAUUUUAUCUGUUACCAA
This is a long non-coding RNA of Neltuma alba, 693 nucleotides long. RefSeq lists it as uncharacterized. The record is from RefSeq and is a predicted model, not a curated record. The transcript has 2 exons. Lineage: Eukaryota; Viridiplantae; Streptophyta; Magnoliopsida; Fabales; Fabaceae.